Perca fluviatilis (European perch) is the source of this 839-nucleotide long non-coding RNA. RefSeq lists it as uncharacterized. Lineage: Eukaryota; Metazoa; Chordata; Actinopteri; Perciformes; Percidae. The transcript is spliced from 2 exons. The record is from RefSeq and is a predicted model, not a curated record.
UCUGAACUGGAACUCUUUACAAGAAUGCACAAACACACACACAGGAACUUGUUACUUCCUGUUUGCACAGAAAUAUAAACUCCCUAUGUGGCCCUAAGUGAAAACGAGUUUGACACCCCUGCUGUAUUUAAUAGGUACACUAUGCCAUGUCUGGUCUGAAGCCAUCCCACCCAUUUUUUCUUCAUCCAAUCAGAGAGCAAACUGAGAAAGUAGAAAACUCCUGUUCCACAGAUACUGUCUUCAUUUUACCUGCAGCAAGAAGAACAAGAUAUACAACCAUCACAUGAUCAUGGAGUUCCCUACACUUAUUGACAACUUCAGACAGAGAUUUCAACUAAGCAGUCAGCUUGAACUGCGAGUCCUUGUCUGCGGUAGAGAAGUUGUUUUGUUGUUGCUAGAGAUGAUUAAGAUAUUUACAAUUAAUAACUUUAGUUUACCUGAAAAAGGUUUAAAUUUGCUGAAAUGUGUUAAGAUUAAUGGAGAAACCCUUUAUGACAUUAUUCUCAAUAAGAUGGCGUCUGUAGUGUGUGAAAGCGGUCUGUGGCUCUGGAGGAAGUUUCUCUCCGUUUCAUACAGAACGAUCAGACGUAGGAUCGCCACCGACAGCGUGGAGGACGAACGAGGAGCCAUAUCUGAUGAUGUACCAUACUAUGAGAUCGUGUGAGUUAAAGUCUUAAAGUGUCUGAUAUUUACUGAACUUAGGUAUCAAAAAUAAUGUUAUGAUAUUAAAUGUGCUUCAUUAUUAGAAGUAAAAGUAAAAAAAAAAAUUGAAUUAACUUUAAAGUGAUUAGAGAUUAAAAUUUCAUAUUUAUUCAUUUCAAUAAAGACAUCAAAAGAGA